Long non-coding RNA from Octopus sinensis (East Asian common octopus), 164 nucleotides. RefSeq lists it as uncharacterized. The record is from RefSeq and is a predicted model, not a curated record. The transcript has 3 exons. NCBI's taxonomy places the organism in Eukaryota, Metazoa, Mollusca, Cephalopoda, Octopoda, Octopodidae.
UUGGCGUCACUGGAGUUAAGAAGAGAACUCUUCCCGGGGCUCCCGGCAACAUCUCCGGGCUCGCUUGCAUUGCCGCUGCUUCGCCCGGCCACCGGCUUCGACGACGGACGCACUGCUAGGAGCACGCUGCGUUCCCGCCGACGGACGGGCACUCUCCGAGUUCG